This 774-nucleotide ribosomal RNA is filed under the name uncultured Neocallimastigales. RNAcentral's name for it is "partial large subunit ribosomal RNA". It matches the Rfam family "Eukaryotic large subunit ribosomal RNA", at positions 20 to 627 of the family's 3401-position model. Lineage: Eukaryota; Fungi; Neocallimastigomycota; Neocallimastigomycetes; Neocallimastigales. The record is from RNAcentral.
UACUAGAGUAGCACUCGCAUAUCAAUAAGCGGAGGAAAAGAAACUAACAAGGAUUCCCCUAGUAACGGCGAGUGAAGCGGGAAGAGCUCAAAUUUGAAAUCUUAAAGGGUUUCCCUUUACGAAUUGUAGUUUAAAGAAGUGUUUUCUGUUGAGGUUUUGGUAAAAGUUCUUUGGAAUAGGACAUCAUAGAGGGUGAGAAUCCCGUAUUUGACCUUUACUUUCAACUUUGUGAUACACUUUCAAGGAGUCGGAUUGUUUGGGAAUGCAGUCCAAAAUGGGUGGUAAAUUUCAUCUAAAGCUAAAUAUUGGCGAGAGACCGAUAGCGAACAAGUACCGUGAGGGAAAGAUGAAAAGAACUUUGAAGAGAGAGUUAAACAGUACGUGAAAUUGUCAAAAGGGAAGCGUUUGACACCAGUGUUGUUUUUCUGAAAAUCAAUUAAAGAACUGUUUAUGCUAAGCUGUUUAGACUUUAUCAGCUAUCUGUUUAGUUUUGAGCUUUUCUUUAAUGCACUUUUCAGUUAACAAGUCAACAUCAAUUUCUUUUGCUGUAAAAAAGCUUGAGGAAGGUGGCUUGAGAUUCGUCUUAAGUGUUUAUAGCCUCUUGCCUAUGCAGUCGGAGAGAUUGAGGUCUGCAGCGUAGAUCCUUCGGGGCUAAAUGCAUUUGUGCUAAGUUAUAGCAUUUUAUAGACAACUUGUUGACUAUGAUUUGUCUUGUAGCUUACUCGCUCAUGUUAUUUUACCUACGCUUAGGAUGUUGAACUCUAUCACACACAG